Molecule: ribosomal RNA, 625 nt
Filed under: uncultured fungus
Lineage: Eukaryota; Fungi
Description: LSU rRNA
Rfam family: Eukaryotic large subunit ribosomal RNA
Source: RNAcentral
ACCCGCUGAACUUAAGCAUAUCAAUAAGCGGAGGAAAAGAAACCAACAGGGAUUGCCCCAGUAACGGCGAGUGAAGCGGCAAGAGCUCAAAUUUGAAAUCUGGCCCCUCCGGGGUCCGAGUUGUAAUUUGCAGAGGAUGCUUCGGGUACGGCCCCGGUCUAAGUCCCCUGGAACGGGGCGUCAUAGAGGGUGAGAAUCCCGUCUGGGAUCGUCGGCCGUGCCCGUGUGAAGCUCCUUCGACGAGUCGAGUUGUUUGGGAAUGCAGCUCUAAAUGGGUGGUAAAUUUCAUCUAAAGCUAAAUACUGGCCGGAGACCGAUAGCGCACAAGUAGAGUGAUCGAAAGAUGAAAAGCACUUUGAAAAGAGAGUUAAACAGCACGUGAAAUUGUUGAAAGGGAAGCGCUUGCGACCAGACUCGCCCGCGGGGUUCAGCCGGGAUUCGUCCCGGUGUACUUCCCCGCGGUCGGGCCAGCGUCGGUUUGGGCGGCCGGUCAAAGGCCCCGGGAAUGUAUCGCCCUCCGGGGCGUCUUAUAGCCCGGGGUGCAAUGCGGCCUGUCCGGACCGAGGAACGCGCUUCGGCACGGACGCUGGCGUAAUGGUCGUAAGCGGCCCGUCUUGAAACACGG